Molecule: ribosomal RNA, 253 nt
Filed under: uncultured bacterium
Lineage: Bacteria
Description: partial 16S ribosomal RNA
Rfam family: Bacterial small subunit ribosomal RNA
Source: RNAcentral
UACGUAGGGUGCGAGCGUUGUCCGGAAUUAUUGGGCGUAAAGAGCUUGUAGGCGGUUUGUCGCGUCUGCUGUGAAAUCUCAAGGCUCAACCUUGAGCUUGCAGUGGGUACGGGCAGACUAGAGUGUGGUAGGGGAGACUGGAAUUCCUGGUGUAGCGGUGAAAUGCGCAGAUAUCAGGAGGAACACCGAUGGCGAAGGCAGGUCUCUGGGCCACUACUGACGCUGAGAAGCGAAAGCAUGGGGAGCGAACCGG